CGGUAAUACGAAGGGAGCUAGCGUUGUUCGGAAUUACUGGGCGUAAAGCGUGCGCAGGCGGCUAUACAAGUCAGGGGUGAAAUGCCAAGGCUCAACCUUGGAACUGCCUUUGAAACUGUAUAGCUAGAGACUCGGAGGGGUUAGGGGAAUUCCUAAUGUAGCGGUGAAAUGCGUAGAUAUUAGGAGGAACACCAGUGGCGAAGGCGCCUAACUGGACGAGUACUGACGCUCAUGCACGAAAGCGUGGGGAUCAAACAGGAUUAGAUACCCUGGUAGUCCACGCCCUAAACGAUGGGUGCUAGCUGUCGGGAGGUUACCUCCCGGUGGCGCAGCUAACGCGUUAAGCACCCCGCCUGGGGAGUACGGUCGCAAGACUAAAACUCAAAGGAAUUGACGGGGACCCGCACAAGCGGUGGAACAUGUGGUUUAAUUCGAGGCAACGCGAAGAACCUUACCAGGCCUUGACAUGCCCUCUAUGGGCUCCAGAAACGGAGCCCUUCACCUCGGGUGGGAGGAGCACAGGUGCUGCAUGGCUGUCGUCAGCUCGUGUCGUGAGAUGUUGGGUUAAGUCCCGCAACGAGCGCAACCCUCAUCCUCUGUUGCUAACAGGUAAUGCUGAGAACUCUGAGGAAACUGCCCGUGAUAAGCGGGAGGAAGGUGGGGAUGACGUCAAGUCCUCAUGGCCCUUACGGCCUGGGCUACACACGUGUUACAAUGGUGGUGACAAUGCGCUGCUAGCCCGCAAGGGUAUGCUAAUCGCAAAAAGCCGCCUCAGUUCGGAUUGUACUCUGCAACUCGAGUACAUGAAGCUGGAAUCGCUAGUAAUCGCGCAUCAGCUCGGCGCGGUGAAUACGUUCCCGGGUCUUGUACACACCGCCCGUCACACCAUGGGAGUCGGUUCUGCCUUAAGUCGCCCUCAAAAGCGCCCACGGCAGGGUCGAUGACUGGGGUGAAGUCGUAACAAG
RNAcentral lists this ribosomal RNA (965 nucleotides) under uncultured bacterium. Its description in RNAcentral is "bacterial SSU rRNA". It matches the Rfam family "Bacterial small subunit ribosomal RNA", at positions 518 to 1495 of the family's 1533-position model. The record is from RNAcentral.